AACGAACGCUGGCGGCAUGCCUAACACAUGCAAGUCGAACGAGACCUUCGGGUCUAGUGGCGCACGGGUGCGUAACGCGUGGGAACCUGCCCUUAGGUUCGGAAUAACUCCCCGAAGGGGUGCUAAUACCGGAUAAUGUCUUCGGACCAAAGAUUUAUCGCCUUUGGAUGGGCCCGCGUUGGAUUAGCUAGUUGGUAGGGUAAAAGCCUACCAAGGCGACGAUCCAUAGCUGGUCUGAGAGGAUGAUCAGCCACACUGGGACUGAGACACGGCCCAGACUCCUACGGGAGGCAGCAGUGGGGAAUAUUGGACAAUGGGCGAAAGCCUGAUCUAGCAAUGCCGCGUGAGUGAUGAAGGCCUUAGGGUUGUAAAGCUCUUUUACCCGGGAUGAUAAUGACAGUACCGGGAGAAUAAGCUCCGGCUAACUCCGUG
RNAcentral lists this ribosomal RNA (432 nucleotides) under uncultured bacterium. Its description in RNAcentral is "partial 16S ribosomal RNA". It matches the Rfam family "Bacterial small subunit ribosomal RNA", at positions 29 to 507 of the family's 1533-position model. The record is from RNAcentral.